RNAcentral lists this ribosomal RNA (519 nucleotides) under uncultured eukaryote. RNAcentral describes it as "SSU rRNA". It matches the Rfam family "Eukaryotic small subunit ribosomal RNA", at positions 1161 to 1699 of the family's 1831-position model. The record is from RNAcentral.
AGGGCACCACCAGGAGUGGAGCCUGCGGCUUAAUUUGACUCAACACGGGAAAACUCACCCGGCCCGGACACUGGAAGGAUUGACAGAUUGAGAGCUCUUUCUUGAUUCAGUGGGUGGUGGUGCAUGGCCGUUCUUAGUUGGUGGAGUGAUUUGUCUGGUUAAUUCCGAUAACGAACGAGACUCUAGCCUACUAAAUAGAUCGUCGGCUUACAAACGCCGGCGAGACUUCUUAGAGGGACAGGCGGUGAUUCAACCGCACGAAACAGAGCAAUAACAGGUCUGUGAUGCCCUUAGAUGUCCGGGGCCGCACGCGCGCUACACUGAAGUGAUCAGCGUGCUUUUUCAACCUACUCUGUCAAGAGUGGGGAACCCAAUGAACCUUCUUCGUGAUUGGGAUAGGGGAUUGUAAUUAUUGCCCAUGAACGAGGAAUUCCCAGUAAGCGCGAGUCAUUAGCUUGCGUUGAUUACGUCCCUGCCCUUUGUACACACCGCCCGUCGCUACUACCGAUUGAAUGAUAG